RNAcentral lists this transfer RNA (76 nucleotides) under Candidatus Cloacimonadota bacterium. Its description in RNAcentral is "tRNA-Ala". It matches the Rfam family "tRNA". Rfam says of the family: Transfer RNA (tRNA) molecules are approximately 80 nucleotides in length. The record is from RNAcentral. Lineage: Bacteria; Pseudomonadati; Candidatus Cloacimonadota.
GGGGGAUUAGCUUAGUUGGGAGAGCGCUGCCCUUGCAAGGCAGAGGUCAUCGGUUCGAAUCCGAUAUCCUCCACCA